This is a long non-coding RNA of Trachemys scripta elegans, 2091 nucleotides long. RefSeq lists it as uncharacterized. Lineage: Eukaryota; Metazoa; Chordata; Testudines; Emydidae. The transcript has 4 exons. The record is from RefSeq and is a predicted model, not a curated record.
AGUUGAGACUCCGUACCAAUCAUACAUGCCUGCAGCUGUGCCUGCAGCCUCUCAAUCUCCCCUUUAAGGUUUAAGUUUUCCUGCUUCAGAACUCCAGGCGAUACCCAUUCACUCUCUCUAUUAAUGCCUCUAUCCCUGUUCAUUCCACGACCUCUCCAACCCCGGCCAUGGCCACCAGGAGAGUAUCCAGGACCCUCUGUUUUCCACUGUCCUAACUGAGUUCACAGCUCAUUGACAGGAGUUCCUUCUUGCUGUUUAACUGCAGUCUCCACUUUUGCAAUCCAUUCAUCCCAAGGUACCUCUUUGCCUCCAUUCUCGCACCAAGCAUUCAUCCAUUCUAACACCCCAGAAGGCAGUGCCUCCAGAACAAGUUGCUUCAAAUCCUCCAGGUUGUUUUGCAAGUAAGAACCAAAAGCUUCCUUGACUAAGAAUAAAGCCCCCAGCUUCCUUACCUUGGAAAGGAUGCAGAGAAGAGAGAAGAAGAGCAGCUGCUUUUCCAGUUGGCUUCUCAUGCUGCCUUACUCUCUGGCACUUCAGCACAUCAGUCCCCAGGCACUUUGGAGGCAGCAAUGUGUUUGCAGUUUUAAAAGUCUCGGAGUAAGGUCCUGCUGGUGUUUAUACUCUUCCCUGCUCUGAUGUCACUCACAAGCUCCAAUAUAAACAUGAGUAGGUUUGGACAAGCAUCAAGAUUUUUUUUUUUCCAAACCCACAUUCCAGCUGACAUUUCCACUCACCUCAAGGUGAGAAUGUGCAGCCCAUUGAGAAAGCAAAGAGAAGGGAGAUUCUCCCAUGGGCUUGGAGAAGCAGCAGAAGAGGGGAGAAUAGGCUGUACUAGAAUGCAGGAAAGUGUGCACAGCACGGAGAGAUUACAGUAGGGAAUGGCAAAUUGGCCAUAGCUGAGGUUGGUAGGAAAGCUCCAUGCUUAGUUACCAUACCCUGCUGUUUCAAACUCAACAUGAAUAGAACCUAUUUGUUUACUGAACUAUUUCCCUGCAGAUUUUGAAUUUCUAGCCUGCAGGACUUGUUUAUCCCUGGAUUUGCACAUUAAAAGUGAUUCCACUUUUUAUAAACCUUUUUCUGGAAUAUCUGCCCCAUUCUCUCAUUUCCUGCCAGUGGAAAAUCAACAUACACAGAUAAUCUGGCAUCCCCUCCGAACUCCUGACCAGGACAUUGGAACAACCAGAGAGGAGCCUGCCUCAGGGAAUCCAUCCUAGUUUUACACUGAGCCCACAUGCUGGGACAGGACUUUGAAAGUGGAAAGGGUCAGGGUGCUGUGUGGUUACUCAUGCAGUACAGAUAUCUCAGGGUUAUGUACCUCACUCACUAUGGAAGUUCAGUGAGUUGCUCUAGGCUCCCAGAAACGGAGGACACAAAGUUUGCAAGCUGUCUGGAGGGAGCAGUUCUGGUGAAGCCUCAAAAGCUUCCAGGAAAACAACAUGCUGUGGGCUAGAAGCUACGCUGCGCUGAGCGUCACAGGGCCCCAGGCAGGCAGCUGGAAAUGGCAUCAGAAGGAGGACCCCACAUCAAUUACUCCCUGAGAGUUGCCGAAAGCUGAGAUGUAAAACCAAGGUCCUGGCCUUGUGUGGUGACAGAAGAGCCCAUGGUAACUUUCGCAGGAGUUGCAUUAUUAACUCGGGUCUCUUGAUCAAAUUGCCGUUCUUUCUGCCUGCUGCGAUUCUUCCUAUAGUUGCAGCUACAUAGGGUAUUUUUCUUCACUUCCUGUCAUAAUCUAGCAUGUUGCGUUACUGUGGGCUGUUAAACAGCUGCAGUGUCCCAUUCCAGAGGUAGGUGCACUCCAGAUGCCUACGUGGUAAAGAGCUUUGGGAUGAGAGAUAGGUACAUGGAGUAUGUCUAUUAAUGUAAGACUUUUUCUCUAUUUUUAUUUUUUGGCUGUUUGCAUUAUGUUCAGGAGCUAGCCUAACAUUCUCAAUGUACAUAAUUCAGAGCUAAGCCAGCACAUAGGGCUUUCUUAGCAGCCAUCAGCAGGGCCUGGAACACAAACAAGUAAUCAAAGAGCUCUUAGGCCUGGUCUGUACUACAGGGUUAGGUCGAAUUUAGCUGCGUUAGGUCGAUUUAAAAAUCACUGCGUCC